GGAGGCCCUGUGGACCUCCGGUGGGGCAGAGUACCGACCCAAAGACCCUCCGGCCCCGCAGCCUCCGGCUGUCCGCAGUUCCUCCAGUUAUUACCACUCAGCCAUCCUUUGCAUGCAUGCAACCAGUUUCUAUUUUUGUGUAGGGCAGAGCCUUUCAGGCAAAUGGAAGCGCCUUACCCCUGCCACAAGGUAGGACCACUCCAUGGAAACAAAUGAGCAUUUAUUUCAUCAAAGGCUUCCCGGAGACCAGGCAUCUUACCAAGCUCAGAGGACCCUUAGGAGCUCCUUGGAGGUGGUGGAGGAAGCUAGAUGAGGAGGGGGAGCUCAGUGCCCCGCUUCUGGUUGGAACAGAGCAGAAGUGUGUAUGUUUCAACAGACGAAUGGAUAAACAAAAUGCCGUCUCUCCAUACAAUGGAAUAUUCUUCAGACAUGAAAAGGAAUGAAGUACUGACAUGCUACAACGAGGAGGAACUCCAAAAGCCUCACCCGAAGUGAAAGAAGCCAGGCACAAAAGGGACAUGGAUGAAGCUGGAAGCCAUCAUCCUCAGCAAACUAACACAGGAACAGAAAACCAAACACCGCAUGUUCUCACUCAUAAGUGGCAGUUGAACAUUGAGAACACAUGGACACAGAGAGGGGAACAACAUACACCAGGGCCUGUUGGGGGAUGGGGGUGAGAAGCGGGAAGUUGGAGGAUGGGUCAAUAGAUGCAGCAAACCACCAUGGCACACAUAUACCUAUGUAACAAACCUGCACGUUCUGCACAUGUAUCCUGUUUUUUUUUUUAGAAGAAAUAAAUAAAUAAAACGAAUGAGGU
Molecule: long non-coding RNA, 817 nt
Filed under: Homo sapiens (human)
Lineage: Eukaryota; Metazoa; Chordata; Mammalia; Primates; Hominidae
Description: novel transcript, antisense to TACC2
Source: RNAcentral